Molecule: RNA transcript, 1160 nt
Organism: Sarcophilus harrisii (Tasmanian devil)
Lineage: Eukaryota; Metazoa; Chordata; Mammalia; Dasyuromorphia; Dasyuridae
Exons: 8
Source: RefSeq, a predicted model, not a curated record
CUUCUUCAUUCCUAUUAAUAUAUCUUUCUACUUCCAGUCAGAGAAGAACAAAUUUCCUUAAUAAGGAUGAAGCUUCUACUUCUGGCCAUUGGCCUAUGUAUGGCCAAUGUAGUUGACCCUAAAAAAUGGGCCAGUGAAAAUAUUGAGUUCAAACCUGGAUACCAUGAACAGAUACCAUGAAGCUGAGCUCUACUGUUCAUUUCUGAGAUGGAGGAUUUGAGUAUGGAAUAAAAAACUAUGAUUAAUGGGAAGUGGUAUUCCAUUGCAACAGACCAAAGGAGAAAAUGCCAGCUGGACAAAGCAGGUUUCAAAUCUCUUCCUUCAAAGUCAAAGAGAAUGCAGAUAUUGAUACAGUAACCUACACCAAAUCUUGAAAAUAACUAUUUUGUUAUGGACGAUACUGUCAGAACUUCCUAAUUUUAUAUUGUCAAGUUGGGAAGAAUACUGGGGAAUGGAAACUACUUGAGAGAUGUCCCAAAGAUAUCAUAAGCUUUCAGGACGCUGGUAUCCCUUUCUCUUGGCUUCUACAUAUAAGGGUUGGGAAAGAAAAGACUUUGGAGCUUUACUGUACGAAAUUAAAGUGACUAUACAUUAUUUGAUAAUAAACUUCUCUAUCAGACCCUGGUAGACAUGAAUUCCAUGUAGAAGAUGUUGAUCCAGAAGAUUACCUCCUGAUUUCUACAACUAAUCAAUUUGAUGAAAUGCUCUUAGGGGUGGAGCUCUACAGCCGGCAUAAAGAUGGGACCUUGAAUGAAAUGAUAAAAGAUAGAUUUGAGCAAAUAUGUGAAUUAUAUGGGCUCACAAAUGAAAAUAUCAUUAACCUGACCACUACUGAUCGAUGCUUCCUCAAUAAAAAGUAGGAAAAUUAGCAUCAGCCUGUGACAUCUAACUAUGGAUUAUGUCCUAGCAUCAGCAUACCCUUUAGUUCUGAAAUCCAGCUGUAUAAUUGGAAGACAUCUUUGAUUCAAGAAGGAAAGGCUGCAUUUGGUUCCAAGAGCAUUGUUGUACUAGCUUCACAUCUUGUACCUCCCCUUUCUUAUUAUCUGUGUGAUGUUGGAUAAGUUAUUUAACCACUUUUUUUGUGCCAGUUUCCUCAUUUAUAAAAUGGUGAUAAUAAGAACUUUCUCUAUGGGAGUUGCUAAUAAAAAAAUUCAAGUUUA